Molecule: long non-coding RNA, 2146 nt
Organism: Numida meleagris (helmeted guineafowl)
Lineage: Eukaryota; Metazoa; Chordata; Aves; Galliformes; Numididae
Exons: 3
Source: RefSeq, a predicted model, not a curated record
GCGAGGGGGAAAAAAAAAAAAAAAAGGAAAGUUAAAAGGCAGAGCGAGAACCGAGCGAGCUUUCUAAAAAUCCGGCUUCUCCUUCUACGGCCGAAGGUAUUUUCUUUCCACGGGCAGAAAUAACUCUACCAAAACGAGACAGAUAUCCCCAAACCGAGACUUUCCUUUUGUUAUUAUGACUGUUUUUACAUAAGGGCGAGUAUGAACCAAACCGGCCGCUCGCAGGACGAGGGAGACGGCGCCGCAUCCCGGGAUCGCCCCGGCACGGAACGACUCCGGAACGGGGGAGCGUCGCCCUAGCGUAAAAACCACAUGAAAAGCGGCUUUGGGAGCGUGCAGAACUACCCCCGAGCGGGGAUACACGGGGGUGUCCGAAGCGGGGGCCGGGGGACCGAGACCCGCGGAGGAGCCGCUGCGCUCCCGGGGCGAUCCGCGGUGCUGCUGCCGGGGUAUCCCGGGCUGUCUGUGGGGCCAGGGCCGCCCCCGAGUGCCACCAGAAGCACUGGGGACAAUGCGGGGGGACGCGGUGUCCCCCCCAUGCCCUCUGGAAGAGAAAGAUGCUUUCCUCUGCCGUUUGCCUUCUGUACUAAAGAUGUCAUCUGAAAGUCUGGGAGGAAGGGGAGACCGUGCUCAGCUCUCUUCCACGAUUAUCGGAACCCUUUCAAAACUCACACAACAAAUACAGCCACCGCAUCUAAUGCAUCAUUUACCAGAGCAGAUCUCCGCGUUUGAUCGGCAGAUAGGCAAAAUCUAUGUAUUCCUUGCUGUACUUAGUAUGCAUGGACGCCGGGCUGCUGUGCACGCGGGGUGCCCCGCCGGGCCGGGACACCCCCGGGGCUCUCAGGAGACUGUCCCCUGCCCUUCCCCGACGCGGGGAGCGGGGUGCGAGAGCGAAGCACGGCGCAAGGUGGAUUUGGCUCCGUUGGGACCUGCGGAGGGGGAGGGGGGGGACACGAGGUGCCCGCCUUGCUCCGCGCAUCGCCGCCCGCACCAGCUGCUCCGCGCUGUGGGGCAGCCGGGCAGGACCCCAAAGCCGGCACCUCCGGCUCGGAGCUGGGCGAGACCCUCAUCCCACGGGCGGGACGGGGCACCCGGGGCAGCAAAACCCCACAGAAAGGGAAUUCCUCCCGCCUGGAGUUAGCCUGAACUCUGUCCACUCAGAGAAGCACCAGGCUCUUUCCUUUUUUCCCUUCCUUCUUUCCUUCCUUUCUUUUUUUUUUUUUCUUUUUCCUCCUUCUUCUUUUUUUCUUCUUUUCCAUAUUUUUUCUUCUUCUUUUAAACUUUUAAUUUUGUUUUUUUUUUUUCCUUCUCUAUUUUUUUUUUUAAUUGAUUCCUAUUCUGGCGAAUCCCAGAAUAACAACAAACACCACUCAGCCCUUGCUCCGGAGCAGGUGAUUCUACAGCGCUGAGCAGCCCUCACUGCCCCCUUCUUUCCCCGGCAGCCUCUGACCUCGUGCCCAGCUACCAAACAAGACGGCAUUUUAUUCUGCACACCGUAUGUCCCCAGCACAGCCCCACUACGGACACCGUGUCCGCAGUGCUGCCGUCCCCUUCCUCUGUCUGGCACCCACCCUGCGCUGGGUGGGGAGGGCUCAGCCGUCCCCUUCUCCAGGAAAAGGAGAGAAACUUUGGUGCGAAGUUGCGGGUGAGCAGCAGCCCUACCAGCCCCUGCCCGUGCACAAGAGUUUUGCAAAUGUUCAACUUGUACUAAUUUUUUUACAGUUGUAUUCACAGUUGUUCCCUGUAAAAAAUGGACCUGUGUUAGUUUAUUAAUAACCUAAACAUUACGUAUUAAAGACCUAUGAGUGACACAAGAUGACAAAAAGCUGUAUUUUUCCAAUAUACACAAGCACACAUUUAAUAACCUUCUAUUGCAUCUCAGCUAGGCCUUCUCUCUGAUGGUUCCCAUGGCAACCGAGAUAAAAAAGCAGCCAUUUUCCAUAUCUCUAUGAAAGUCUAUUAUAUUGCAGGAUUAGUUCAUCUUCUGCUAAGGUCAAACACAAAGUCAUACAACCUGAAAUAUUUAGAAUCCGUGUACAUUCAUUUUUUUAUAUGCCCUUUCAUUUCCCACAAAAGACGGGGCUCCUCUGAGGUUUUAUUCCCCGAGAAAAUGCUAAGCAAAGCAAUAAAAAAAAAUCACGAUUAG